UGGGGAAUAUUGCACAAUGGAGGGAACUCUGAUGCAGCGACGCCGCGUGAGUGAUGAAGGACUUCGUUUCGUAAAACUCUGUUCUAUGGGAAGAAAAGGACUUUACCAUAGGAGAAAGCUCCGGCUAAAUACGUGCCAGCAGCCGCGGUAAUACGUAUGGAGCGAGCGUUGUCCGGAAUUAUUGGGCGUAAAGGGUGCGCAGGCGGCUUUACAAGUUGGAUGUGAAAUAUUGUGGCUCAACCACAAACGUGCAUCCAAAACUGCAAAGCUUGAGUUAAGGAGAGGUAAGUGGAAUUCCUGGUGUAGCGGUGGAAUGCGUAGAUAUCAGGAGGAAUACCGGUGGCGAAGGCGACUUACUGGACUUAAACUGACGCUCAGGCACGAAAGCGUGGGGAGCAAACAGG
RNAcentral lists this ribosomal RNA (404 nucleotides) under Fusobacteriota bacterium. Its description in RNAcentral is "Fusobacteria bacterium partial 16S ribosomal RNA". It matches the Rfam family "Bacterial small subunit ribosomal RNA", at positions 355 to 776 of the family's 1533-position model. Lineage: Bacteria; Fusobacteriati; Fusobacteriota. The record is from RNAcentral.